GAUCAGGACUGCUGAAAGAAUGAAGAAG
This 28-nucleotide non-coding RNA is filed under the name Homo sapiens (human). The record is from RNAcentral. Lineage: Eukaryota; Metazoa; Chordata; Mammalia; Primates; Hominidae.